CCGGAGAUGGAUUCUGAGACACGAAUCCAGGCCCUACGGGGUGCAGCAGGCGCGAACACUUUACAAUGCGGGAAACCGCGAUAAGGGAACCCCGAGUGCCAGCAUCAAAUGUUGGCUGUCCGGAUGAUUAAAAAUCAUUUGUUAGCAAGGGCCGGGCAAGACCGGUGCCAGCCGCCGCGGUAACACCGGCGGCCCGAGUGGUAGCCGUUUUUAUUGGGUCUAAAGGGUCCGUAGCCGGCCUGAUCAGUCCUUUGGGAAAUCUGGCAGCUUAACUGUCAGGCUUCUAAGGGAUACUGUCAGGCUUGGGACCGGAAGAGGUAAGGGGUACUCCAGGGGUAGGAGUGAAAUCUUGUAAUNCCCUGGGGGACCAUCUGUGGCGAAGGCGCCUUACCAGAACGGGUCCGACGGUGAGGGACGAAAGCUAGGGGAGCAAACCGGAUUAGAUACCCGGGUAGUCCUAGCUGUAAACGAUGCUCGCUAGGUGUCAGGCACGGUGCGACCGUGUUUGGUGCCGNCAGGGAAGCCGUUAAGCGAGCCACCUGGGAAGUACGGUCGNCAAGGCUGAAACUUAAAGGAAUUGGCGGGGGAGCAC
Molecule: ribosomal RNA, 592 nt
Filed under: uncultured archaeon
Lineage: Archaea
Description: bacterial SSU rRNA
Rfam family: Archaeal small subunit ribosomal RNA
Source: RNAcentral